GGGUUGUGAGGUUAAGCGACUAAGCGUACACGGUGGAUGCCCUGGCAGUCAGAGGCGAUGAAGGGCGUGCUAAUCUGCGAUAAGCGCCGGUAAGGUGAUAUGAACCGUUAUAACCGGCGAUACCCGAAUGGGGAAACCCAGUGUGAUUCGUCACACUAUCAUUAACUGAAUCCAUAGGUUAAUGAGGCGAACCGGGGGAACUGAAACAUCUAAGUACCCCGAGGAAAAGAAAUCAACCGAGAUUCCCCCAGUAGCGGCGAGCGAACGGGGAGGAGCCCAGAGCCUGAAUCAGCAUGUGUGUUAGUGGAAGCGUCUGGAAAGGCGCGCGAUACAGGGUGACAGCCCCGUACACAAAAGCGCAUGUGCUGUGAGCUCGAUGAGUAGGGCGGGACACGUGGUAUCCUGUCUGAAUAUGGGGGGACCAUCCUCCAAGGCUAAAUACUCCUGACUGACCGAUAGUGAACCAGUACCGUGAGGGAAAGGCGAAAAGAACCCCGGCGAGGGGAGUGAAAAAGAACCUGAAACCGUGUACGUACAAGCAGUGGGAGCACAGGUUUACCUGUGUGACUGCGUACCUUUUGUAUAAUGGGUCAGCGACUUAUAUUCUGUAGCAAGGUUAACCGUAUAGGGGAGCCGUAGGGAAACCGAGUCUUAACCGGGCGUUAAGUUGCAGGGUAUAGACCCGAAACCCGGUGAUCUAGCCAUGGGCAGGUUGAAGGUUGGGUAACACUAACUGGAGGACCGAACCGACUAAUGUUGAAAAAUUAGCGGAUGACCUGUGGCUGGGGGUGAAAGGCCAAUCAAACCGGGAGAUAGCUGGUUCUCCCCGAAAGCUAUUUAGGUAGCGCCUCGUGAAUUCAUCUCCGGGGGUAGAGCACUGUUUCGGCUAGGGGGCCAUCCCGGCUUACCAACCCGAUGCAAACUGCGAAUACCGGAGAAUGUUAUCACGGGAGACACACGGCGGGUGCUAACGUCCGUCGUGAAGAGGGAAACAACCCAGACCGCCAGCUAAGGUCCCAAAGUCAUGGUUAAGUGGGAAACGAUGUGGGAAGGCCCAGACAGCCAGGAUGUUGGCUUAGAAGCAGCCAUCAUUUAAAGAAAGCGUAAUAGCUCACUGGUCGAGUCGGCCUGCGCGGAAGAUGUAACGGGGCUAAACCAUGCACCGAAGCUGCGGCAGCGACACUAUGUGUUGUUGGGUAGGGGAGCGUUCUGUAAGCCUGUGAAGGUGUGUCGUGAGGCAUGCUGGAGGUAUCAGAAGUGCGAAUGCUGACAUAAGUAACGAUAAAGCGGGUGAAAAGCCCGCUCGCCGGAAGACCAA
Molecule: ribosomal RNA, 1318 nt
Filed under: Salmonella enterica subsp. enterica serovar London
Lineage: Bacteria; Pseudomonadati; Pseudomonadota; Gammaproteobacteria; Enterobacterales; Enterobacteriaceae
Description: partial 23S ribosomal RNA
Rfam family: Bacterial large subunit ribosomal RNA
Source: RNAcentral